RNAcentral lists this ribosomal RNA (788 nucleotides) under uncultured bacterium. RNAcentral describes it as "bacterial SSU rRNA". It matches the Rfam family "Bacterial small subunit ribosomal RNA", at positions 600 to 1389 of the family's 1533-position model. The record is from RNAcentral.
UCCCCGGGCUCAACCNGGGAACUGCGUUCUGAACUGGGUGACUAGAGUGUNUCAGAGGGAGGUAGAAUUCCACGUGUAGCAGUGAAAUGCGUAGAGAUGUGGAGGAAUACCGAUGGCGAAGGCAGCCUCCUGGGAUAACACUGACGUUCAUGCCCGAAAGCGUGGGUAGCAAACAGGAUUAGAUACCCUGGUAGUCCACGCCCUAAACGAUGUCGAUUAGCUGUUGGGCAGCAUGACUGCUUAGUAGCGAAGCUAACGCGUGAAAUCGACCGCCUGGNGAGUACGGUCGCAAGAUUAAAACUCAAAGGAAUUGACGGGGACCCGCACAAGCGGUGGAUGAUGUGGAUUAAUUCGAUGCAACGCGAAGAACCUUACCUGGUCUUGACAUGUACGGAACCCUCCAGAGACGGAGGGGUGCCUUCGGGAGCCGUAACACAGGUGCUGCAUGGCUGUCGUCAGCUCGUGUCGUGAGAUGUUGGGUUAAGUCCCGCAACGAGCGCAACCCUUGUCAUUAGUUGCCAUCAUUAAGUUGGGCACUCUAAUGAGACUGCCGGUGACAAGCCGGAGGAAGGUGGGGAUGACGUCAAGUCCUCAUGGCCCUUAUGACCAGGGCCUCACACGUCAUACAAUGGUCGGUACAGAGGGUAGCCAAGCCGCGUGGUGGAGCCAAUCUCACAAAACCGAUCGUAGUCCGGAUUGCACUCUGCAACUCGAGUGCAUGAAGUCGGAAUCGCUAGUAAUCGCAGGUCAGCAUACUGCGGUGAAUACGUUCCCGGGUCUUGUNCACA